AAGGGCAAUGGGAGGGUUAUUGAAAUGUAAGUAUGGAAAAACUUGUUAGAGUUGCAGUCCAGCACGUCCUCUACAAGUGCCUCAUCCGUGAUGCGUCAAAAAGUCGAUGAAAAGGGUUGUAGAGAACAAACACAAGUUGUUUAGCAGAUUGCAUUUUGUGAUCCUUAUUGGGUGGUGGUCCGGCGCUGAAAGACAAUGAUGACGUACCACCUCCUCUUCUGAAGUUGCUGACACCGAUGGAGAAAAAUUGCGGGUAAUACCUAUCUCAACAAUAUGGCGAUGACAACGUUCAACAGUUGCAUUAUGUUCAGGAGUAUGUGGAGGAGUGAGCAGGAACUACCAAAGAAGAAUUUUUCUAAAGAGGAUGAAAUCACUAAAAGCUUGAAAACUUGACGAAGAGUUGGAGAGGAAGGAUUUUUCUAAAGAGGAAUAAAUAUCUAAAAGCUUGAAAACUUGAUGAAGAGUUGGAGAGGACGGAUGACUGAGACGUCGAUGCCAAU
Molecule: unclassified non-coding RNA, 500 nt
Filed under: Hevea brasiliensis (rubber tree)
Lineage: Eukaryota; Viridiplantae; Streptophyta; Magnoliopsida; Malpighiales; Euphorbiaceae
Source: RNAcentral